Molecule: transfer RNA, 64 nt
Filed under: Periplaneta lateralis (Turkestan cockroach)
Lineage: Eukaryota; Metazoa; Arthropoda; Insecta; Blattodea; Blattidae
Description: Shelfordella lateralis (Turkestan cockroach) tRNA-Asp
Source: RNAcentral
GAAAAUUUAGUUAAACAAUAACAUUAUCUUGUCAAGAUAAAAUUAUUCAGAUGAAUAAUUUUCU